This 492-nucleotide ribosomal RNA is filed under the name uncultured bacterium. RNAcentral describes it as "partial 16S ribosomal RNA". It matches the Rfam family "Bacterial small subunit ribosomal RNA", at positions 29 to 507 of the family's 1533-position model. The record is from RNAcentral.
AUUGAACGCUGGCGGCAUGCUUUACACAUGCAAGUCGAACGGUAACAGGCCUUCGGGUGCUGACGAGUGGCGAACGGGUGAGUAAUGCAUCGGAACGUGCCCAGAGGUGGGGGAUAACGCAGCGAAAGCUGUGCUAAUACCGCAUGUGAUCUGAGGAUGAAAGCGGGGGACCAGGCAGCAAUGUUUGGCCUCGCGCCUUUGGAGCGGCCGAUGUCAGAUUAGGUAGUUGGUGGGGUAAAGGCCUACCAAGCCGACGAUCUGUAGCUGGUCUGAGAGGACGACCAGCCACACUGGGACUGAGACACGGCCCAGACUCCUACGGGAGGAAGCAGUGGGGAAUUUUGGACAAUGGGCGCAAGCCUGAUCCAGCAAUGCCGCGUGCGGGAAGAAGGCCUUCGGGUUGUAAACCGCUUUUGUACGGAACGAAAAGGCUCUGGCUAAUACCUGGGGAUGAUGACGGUACCGGAAGAAUAAGCACCGGCUAACUACGUG